UACGGGGGGGGCAAGCGUUGUUCGGAAUUACUGGGCGUAAAGGGCUUGUAGGUGGCCAACUAAGUCAGACGUGAAAUCCCUCGGCUUAACCGGGGAACUGCGUCUGAUACUGGAUGGCUUGAAUUCGGGAGAGGGAUGCGGAAUUCCAGGUGUAGCGGUGAAAUGCGUAGAUAUCUGGAGGAACACCGGUGGCGAAGGCGGCAUCCUGGACCGGCAUUGACGCUGAGGCGCGAAAGCCAGGGGAGCAAACGGG
Molecule: ribosomal RNA, 253 nt
Filed under: uncultured bacterium
Lineage: Bacteria
Description: partial 16S ribosomal RNA
Rfam family: Bacterial small subunit ribosomal RNA
Source: RNAcentral